RNAcentral lists this transfer RNA (64 nucleotides) under Curculionidae sp. BMNH 1274272. RNAcentral describes it as "tRNA-Thr". The record is from RNAcentral. Lineage: Eukaryota; Metazoa; Arthropoda; Insecta; Coleoptera; Curculionidae.
GUUUUAAUAAUUUAAAAAAAAUACUGAUUUUGUAAUUCAGAUUUAAGAAUAUUCUUUUAAAACU